ACGAUGAUCCGCACAUAUGGUGUUGAUCGGGUUGCUUGGGAAUGCAGCCCAAAGCGGGUGGUAAGCUCCAUCCAAGGCUAAAAACGGGGA
Octopus sinensis (East Asian common octopus) is the source of this 90-nucleotide long non-coding RNA. RefSeq lists it as uncharacterized. NCBI's taxonomy places the organism in Eukaryota, Metazoa, Mollusca, Cephalopoda, Octopoda, Octopodidae. The transcript has 4 exons. The record is from RefSeq and is a predicted model, not a curated record.